Molecule: non-coding RNA, 366 nt
Organism: Archocentrus centrarchus (flier cichlid)
Lineage: Eukaryota; Metazoa; Chordata; Actinopteri; Cichliformes; Cichlidae
Product: small Cajal body-specific RNA 2
Exons: 1
Source: RefSeq, a predicted model, not a curated record
GGUUUUUGGCUUUAAACCGGAAGCGGAAGUUCCUGUUACUCCUAGUUUGAAUGGCGUGUGUGUGAGUCUGUGUGCUUAGGUAGGUGAGUGAGUGAGUGAGUGAGUGAGUGAGUUUGUCUCUUUUAAAAACCUACACACUGAUCUUAUUUGAUCCGGUCAGAAGUGGGCUCUGCUCUGACCGGACAUGAUAGGAAACUCGCUGGCGAGCCUUCGUGGCGAUGUGCAGCCGGCAGAAACCUCCAGGGCCUCCACGCUCCGUGCCGUGGUUAGAGGUGAUGAAUUGAUCAGAUAUACUAGCCCUGUGAGAGCUCGAGUUCAUCUCAAGCUUCACGGUGGACAAUGAGUAAAGAGGCGAUUCUGAUCUAA